RNAcentral lists this ribosomal RNA (1179 nucleotides) under Stutzerimonas stutzeri. RNAcentral describes it as "Pseudomonas stutzeri partial 23S ribosomal RNA". It matches the Rfam family "Bacterial large subunit ribosomal RNA", at positions 1769 to 2925 of the family's 2925-position model. The record is from RNAcentral. Lineage: Bacteria; Pseudomonadati; Pseudomonadota; Gammaproteobacteria; Pseudomonadales; Pseudomonadaceae.
CAUGCCGGUCGAAGAUACCAGGCCGCUGCGACUGUUUAUUAAAAACACAGCACUCUGCAAACACGAAAGUGGACGUAUAGGGUGUGACGCCUGCCCGGUGCCGGAAGGUUAAUUGAUGGGGUUAGCGCAAGCGAAGCUCUUGAUCGAAGCCCCGGUAAACGGCGGCCGUAACUAUAACGGUCCUAAGGUAGCGAAAUUCCUUGUCGGGUAAGUUCCGACCUGCACGAAUGGCGUAACGAUGGCGGCGCUGUCUCCACCCGAGACUCAGUGAAAUUGAAAUCGCUGUGAAGAUGCAGUGUAUCCGCGGCUAGACGGAAAGACCCCGUGAACCUUUACUAUAGCUUUGCACUGGACUUUGAGCUUGCUUGUGUAGGAUAGGUGGGAGGCUUUGAAGCGUGGACGCCAGUUCGCGUGGAGCCAUCCUUGAAAUACCACCCUGGCAACCUUGAGGUUCUAACUCUGGUCCGUUAUCCGGAUCGAGGACAGUGUAUGGUGGGUAGUUUGACUGGGGCGGUCUCCUCCUAAAGAGUAACGGAGGAGUACGAAGGUGCGCUCAGACCGGUCGGAAAUCGGUCGCAGAGUAUAAAGGCAAAAGCGCGCUUGACUGCGAGACAGACACGUCGAGCAGGUACGAAAGUAGGUCUUAGUGAUCCGGUGGUUCUGUAUGGAAGGGCCAUCGCUCAACGGAUAAAAGGUACUCCGGGGAUAACAGGCUGAUACCGCCCAAGAGUUCAUAUCGACGGCGGUGUUUGGCACCUCGAUGUCGGCUCAUCACAUCCUGGGGCUGAAGCCGGUCCCAAGGGUAUGGCUGUUCGCCAUUUAAAGUGGUACGCGAGCUGGGUUUAGAACGUCGUGAGACAGUUCGGUCCCUAUCUGCCGUGGACGUUUGAGAUUUGAGAGGGGCUGCUCCUAGUACGAGAGGACCGGAGUGGACGAACCUCUGGUGUUCCGGUUGUCACGCCAGUGGCAUUGCCGGGUAGCUAUGUUCGGAAGAGAUAACCGCUGAAAGCAUCUAAGCGGGAAACUUGCCUCAAGAUGAGAUCUCACUGGAGCCUUGAGCUCCCUGAAGGGCCGUCGAAGACUACGACGUUGAUAGGUUGGGUGUGUAAGCGCUGUGAGGCGUUGAGCUAACCAAUACUAAUUGCCCGUGAGGCUUGACCAUAUAACACCCAAACAAUU